RNAcentral lists this ribosomal RNA (496 nucleotides) under uncultured bacterium. RNAcentral's name for it is "bacterial SSU rRNA". It matches the Rfam family "Bacterial small subunit ribosomal RNA", at positions 34 to 507 of the family's 1533-position model. The record is from RNAcentral.
CGCUGGCGGCGUGCCUAACACAUGCAAGUCAAGGGGAAAGUUUUGCUUCGGCGGAGCGAGUAUACUGGCGGACGGGUGAGUAACGCGUAGGCAACCUGCCCUUACGGAUGGGAUAACCCAGCGAAAGUUGGACUAAUACCGUAUAAAGCGACUGUAUUACCUGGUAUAGUUGUCAAAGGUUGCUUUUCGGAGCAAUCGCGUAAGGAUGGGCCUGCGUUCCAUUAGUUAGUUGGUGAGGUAAUGGCUCACCAAGGCGACGAUGGAUAGCUGGUUUGAGAGAGUGAUCAGCCACACUGGGACUGAGAUACGGCCCAGACUCCUACGGGAGGCAGCAGUGAGGAAUAUUGCGCAAUGGAGGAAACUCUGACGCAGCAACGCCGCGUGGGGGAUGAAGUUCUAUGGAGUGUAAACCCCUGUAAGUAGGGACGAAAGUUAUAUAUUCGAAUAGGGUAUAUAUAUGACGGUACCUACAGAGUAAGCUCCGGCUAACUCCGUG